This 88-nucleotide transfer RNA is filed under the name Trichodelitschia bisporula. It matches the Rfam family "tRNA". From Rfam's summary of the family: Transfer RNA (tRNA) molecules are approximately 80 nucleotides in length. Their secondary structure includes four short double-helical elements and three loops (D, anti-codon, and T loops). The record is from Rfam by way of RNAcentral. Lineage: Eukaryota; Fungi; Ascomycota; Dothideomycetes; Phaeotrichales; Phaeotrichaceae.
GGCCGCGUGGCCUAAUGGUAAGGCGUCUGACUACGAUUCCCUUUGGGUUGUAAUCAGGAGAUUGCAGGUUCGAGACCUGCCGCGGUCA